Molecule: transfer RNA, 86 nt
Filed under: Paludibacteraceae bacterium
Lineage: Bacteria; Pseudomonadati; Bacteroidota; Bacteroidia; Bacteroidales; Paludibacteraceae
Description: tRNA-Leu
Rfam family: tRNA
About the family: Transfer RNA (tRNA) molecules are approximately 80 nucleotides in length.
Source: RNAcentral
GCGGAAGUGGUGGAAUUGGUAGUCACGCAACGCUAAGGACGUUGUUGGAAUUAAAUCCAGUGAAGGUUCGAGUCCUUUCUUCCGUA